AGCGAACGCUGGCGGCAGGCUUAACACAUGCAAGUCGAGCGGGCACUUUCGGGUGUCAGCGGCGGACGGGUGAGUAACGCGUGGGAACGUGCCCUCUGGUUCGGAAUAACUCAGGGAAACUUGAGCUAAUACCGGAUACGCCCUUUUGGGGAAAGGCUUGCUGCCGGAGGUCGGCCCGCGUCUGAUUAGCUAGUUGGUGAGGUAACGGCUCACCAAGGCGACGAUCAGUAGCUGGUCUGAGAGGAUGAUCAGCCACACUGGGACUGAGACACGGCCCAGACUCCUACGGGAGGCAGCAGAGGGGAAUAUUGGACAAUGGGCGCAAGCCUGAUCCAGCCAUGCCGCGUGAGUGAUGAAGGCCUUAGGGUUGUAAAGCUGUUUUAUCCGGGACGAUAAUGACGGUACCGGAGGAAUAAGCCCCGGCUAACUUCGUG
Molecule: ribosomal RNA, 434 nt
Filed under: uncultured bacterium
Lineage: Bacteria
Description: partial 16S ribosomal RNA
Rfam family: Bacterial small subunit ribosomal RNA
Source: RNAcentral